Long non-coding RNA from Junco hyemalis (dark-eyed junco), 1577 nucleotides. The record is from Ensembl. Lineage: Eukaryota; Metazoa; Chordata; Aves; Passeriformes; Passerellidae.
GUACUAGACUGCUGGCAAAGUUUUUAAUUUUGGUUUAUGAUGUUUGUAGUUUUUGGAGGCACAGGAUCAAACGCUUGAAAUGCAAUAUUCAUCUGAUACUACAUACCAACCCCAAAUACAGGUAGGGUUUGCUUGGUGGGCUUUUUUCUCCUUCAAGAACAAUUAUUUUCUCCUGCACAUUUUUUUCCCCUUAAAACAUCAGUCAGAUGAGUGGAUAGAUGCAGAAAAUUUCAGCAACAUGUGCAGCAGUAUCCUUGUUGUCUUGACUGAAAGAAUGAUCCUGUGUGUUUUAGCUGGAUCUUCUUUGCUACAAUCCAUAACAGAUGCCAUUGGUGUUUUUGUUCCUAUCGCUACUUGAUGGCUUUCUCCAACCGCACUUCACAUUCCUGAAGCUGAAAGAUUUGUUCUCUUAGCCACCAAGAAACACUACACUCUUAUUUUGGAGUCUCCCUGCAUUCCAAGAUAGCAUUGGCAACAGGGGACAUGCAAGGGUCAACAGCUCCUCAUCCAGCAGCACAACCUCAUUCAUUGCAGCAAAGAGGUUUUCAGAGUUUGGGAAUGCCCUGAAGAGUUUUACCUUCUGUGUCCCAAAAUGGAUGUCAUUUGCUCUUUGUUCCCAGGGAGACACAGACAGAUGUUGUCAAAUAUUCUGCACCCAAUUAUUCUGCACCCAAAUAUUCUGCACCCAAUAUCAGUGCCAAUUUCUUGGCAUUGAAAAAUCUCACUGAACUGACUGGGGGUCUUGAAGUUGUACUGGGCAUCUUUGGUCUUUUGAUUGGUAAUGGCAUCUUUGUGCCAUUGCUAGACUAAGGAAAAUCUGGCAGCAGCUAAAAGUGUGGUGUGUAAUGGUAUUUGCAGAAAAUUAAAACACCUUACCACUUUAGCAACUGUGAAAAUGAAGGUGAGAACUUUUAGCAAUAUACACCUUCAGCUGAGUGAAAUUCUGCCCUGGAUUUUUUUUCUGUUAACCUGAUGAAUGAGAUUCACAUUUGUAAAUUGUGAUUGGUAAUUUGUAAAUUGGUCUGUACUGGGCCAUGGAUAAUAUAAACAAUACUGAGAUUAAGGUGUAAAAGGAGAGAGCAAGAUGUUUUGGCAAGAUAUUUUGAAUUCCUGUGACAUUUUUAUAUUGUUACAUCUGAGAUGUGAAGUGUGAAUAGCUGACAUACCCUUGGUCUGAGGAAUUGUCACCAGAUUCAGGCUUUUUUUUUUAACAAGUGUCAAACUUUUACAAGUAGCCUGUGCAGCUUCUUUUCAGCCACAGCAUAUAACCCUGGUCACAUCAGAUGGAAUGACCAUGACACAGUGACAUUUCUAUUUACCCAUUUCCAUUACUAAAAAUCAAAGAUCACAUUUCCAAGUUACCUCUGACAAUACUGUUAUUGCUUUCCUGCAGAGAAAUUAGACAGAUAAUUUUUCUUUCCUUUCCAGACCUGCCACUCUAUUUUUUUUUUUUUUGCACCAACAAAUUUUUCAUUUCCUGUUAAUUUUUAGUCUAAGAGAAAUAGCUUACUCCAGGAGAAGCAGUCUGAGAGUUAUUGUACAUAGCUAACAGUUUGUUGAAUAAAGUCUGGAAAAAC